This 553-nucleotide ribosomal RNA is filed under the name uncultured archaeon. RNAcentral describes it as "bacterial SSU rRNA". It matches the Rfam family "Archaeal small subunit ribosomal RNA", at positions 876 to 1429 of the family's 1478-position model. The record is from RNAcentral.
GCACCACAAGGCGUGAAGCUUGCGGUUCAAUUGGAGUCAACGCCGGGAACCUUACCGGGGGCGACAGCAGGAUGAAGGCCAGGUUGAUGGUCUUGCUGGACGAGCUGAGAGGAGGCGCAUGGCCGUCGUCAGUUCGUGCCGUCAGGUGUCCUCUUAAGUGAGGUAACGAUCGAGACCCGCGCCCCUUGUUGCUAACAGACUCCAUCGGGGUCUGUGCACACUAGGGGGACCGCCGUCGAUAAGACGGAGGAAGGAGCGGGCCACGGCAGGUCAGUAUGCCCCGAAUCCCCCGGGCCACACGCGAGCUGCAAUGGCAGGGACAAUGGGUGUCGACUCCGAAAGGAGGAGGUAAUCUCUAAACCCUGCCUCAGUUGGGAUCGAGGGCUGAAACCCGUCCUCGUGAAUAUGGAAUGCCUAGUAAUCGCGCGUCAUCAUCGCGCGGUGAAUACGUCCCCGCUCCUUGCACACACCGCCCGUCGUUCCAUCCGAGUGGGGUUUGGGUGAGGCGUAGUCCUUGGUGGCUGCGUCGAACUCAGGUUCCGCAAGGAGGGAA